RNAcentral lists this ribosomal RNA (471 nucleotides) under Triticum aestivum (bread wheat). RNAcentral's name for it is "partial small subunit ribosomal RNA". Lineage: Eukaryota; Viridiplantae; Streptophyta; Magnoliopsida; Poales; Poaceae. The record is from RNAcentral.
GAAGAAUAUACAUUCUGGCGAUUUGUAUCCAAAGACUAAUUUAAAUUGCAUCCAAAAUAAAAAUAGGAUUAUGAGUACAGAGUCGCGAAGCAUAAUUUUGCAUUGGAUUAAGUAUUCCAAUUUUGAAAAUAUGAGUAAAGGAUCUAUGGAUGAAGAUACAAAAAAGUUGAUUUCCAAUCGUAACUAAAUCUUCUUAAAAUAAGGAAUAAGGAAGCCAAAUAGCUAAAAAACGAUAGUUUUGGUUUACUAGAACCAUCCGCAUAUUGUUUCAGCUCGGUGGAAACCCAAUUCUUUUCCUCAGGAUCUCUUGAAUGAAAUUAGGGAACGAAGUAAGUAGAUUAGAUGGAUUUCGAUAGAAUUUCUAUCUCCUACUCUAUAAGGAUCAUCUAGAAAGCGGAGAGCUUUGGUUCCAUUCAAAUAGAAAAGCUGACAUGGAUGUUAAGUGGUGAGAAUAUCCAUAAAGGAGCCGAG